This is a long non-coding RNA of Oncorhynchus masou masou (cherry salmon), 1993 nucleotides long. RefSeq lists it as uncharacterized. The record is from RefSeq and is a predicted model, not a curated record. NCBI's taxonomy places the organism in Eukaryota, Metazoa, Chordata, Actinopteri, Salmoniformes, Salmonidae. The transcript has 4 exons.
CCUGCCUGGUCUCACAGAGCCCCUGUCUCGGCAGUCUCCCUAAUGCAAACGUAUAUGAACUGCUCAGUAAUGGGGAUCGCUGUGAACCUGGGCGCUUGCAUUUCCUCUAAACGGAGAGACGGACGAAUAACCGACUCGACAUCGGUAAAGUGUGCUAUUUAAAAACUGGAGCACUGCGUUCGUUUGUCAUAUUUGUGUUUAUAACCGUCUUUAUUUAUUCUCAAAACGUUGCUGCCGGUCUUCAAAAUAUAGCCCGAUUAGGAAGUUCUCGUCAAGAAGAGCAGGAUAAUCGCACAUCAAGUCUAGUUCAAUCUUUCUCCAGACCGAUUGAAUAGCCGAUUUGAAGACUCCGAAGGAUUUCUUUAUCUAUUGGCCACUACGUCCAUGUCUUUGAAGACGGAUUAUCCAAACCAUUCAACAAGUGGAUGCUCAUUGUUUUACCUCAAAUCUGCAAGUCAUCUGCUCUCAAGUCUUCCUCCUGCGUCUGUUUGAUGUAUCUCUCUGCUCGGAAUCCAUUUGGCAAGAUUGAUAGAUUAAUACGGUGAAUCUCAGACAAAAAUAAGCUGCUCAUGUCGAUAAGGGAUUGAUGAAUCGCUCCAAGCAGAAACGUGACAGAAGAACCCACCAUAACAGGACCAAGUAGCAUGAAAAGGAGGAGCAGCGUUUAAUGGGGAAAUGGACAUGGGAGGAGAUACUAGAUGGAAUGGGACCCUGGACGCAGCCGGGGGAGUAUCGCCGUCCUAAGAGGCAGCGAAAGCGGAACGGUGAUACUACGAGGAGAAAUACCGGAGAAUGGAGGAACGGCAACGAUAUGCCCGAGAGGCAUCCCCAAUAACUUUUUUGGGGGGCACACGAGGAGAUUGCAUGAGUCAGGUUGGAGACCUGAGCCAACUCCUCGUGCUUACUGUGGGGAGCGUGUGACUGGUCAGGCACCGUGUUAUUCAGAAUGGGCAUCCAGCCAGGAAGGAAGGUUCCGGUUCAGCGCUCCUGGUCUCCGGUAUACCUCCUUGGACCAGGAUAUCCUGUGCCGCCUCUGCACACUGUCUCUGCGCGAUGAGUCUGCACAGCCCAGUGCGUCCUGUGGCAGCGCCCUGCAUAUGCAGGGUGAAAAUAAACAUCCAGCCAGGACGGGUUGUGUCAGCUCUACACUCCAGACCUCCAGUGCGCCUCCAGAGUCCAGUACGUCCUGUUCCUCCUCCCCGCACUUGCCCCGAGGUGCGUGUCCCCACCCUGGUACCACCAGUGCUGGCACCACGCACCGAUCAGGCCUACAACCAUGGUGUUGUCAGCAAACGUGAUGAUGAAGAUAGUGUCGUGCAAAGCAAUGCAGUCGUGGGUGCACAUGGAGUACAGCAGAGGGCUGAGGACACCGUUUGAAUAGGACCCUUGAUUAUCUAUCUGGUCCUUGAAUCCUGACAGCACCCAUCAAGAACAACAUAGACAAGCAAUAUUUUUUGUAUCUGAAGUAUAUCCGCCCAACUCCUAUACCAAGGACAGGUGAACGUGUAUAAUGAUCUAUCUAAUCUAGUCUGAAUACAUCUAGAUGAAUAGCUAAAUGAGGUGAGUUGAAAGGCUGGCCUUGUAAUUAAAACAACCAAUUGAACCAGUCUAGCAUAAAUACUUCACCCCCACAGUAUUUUUAGGUACGAAAUACUUUGAUUUGAUUAAUUAGGAUCCCCAUUAGCCGUCUUACUGGGGUCCGACUGUCACGCCCUGGUCUUAGUUUUUGUGUUUUCUUUAUCUAUUUGGUCAGGCCAGGGUGUGACAUGGGUUUUUGUAUGUGGUGUGUUUUGUCUUGGGUUUUUUUCACAGGUAUUGGGAUUGUAGCUUAGUGGGGUUUUCUAGGUUAGUCUAUGGCUGUCUGAAGUUGUUCUCAAUCUGAGGCAGGUGUUUAUCGUUGUCUCUGAUUGGAAACCAUAUUUAGGCAGCCAUAUUCUUUGAGUGUUUCGUGGGUGAUUGUCCUUGUUCCUGUUCUGUGUUAGUUUACACCAGU